RNAcentral lists this ribosomal RNA (492 nucleotides) under uncultured bacterium. Its description in RNAcentral is "partial 16S ribosomal RNA". It matches the Rfam family "Bacterial small subunit ribosomal RNA", at positions 29 to 507 of the family's 1533-position model. The record is from RNAcentral.
AGUGAACGCUGGCGAUAGGCCUAACACAUGCAAGUCGAACGGCAGCACAGUAAGAGCUUGCUCUUACGGGUGGCGAGUGGCGGACGGGUGAGGAAUACAUCGGAAUCUACUUUUUCGUGGGGGAUAACGUAGGGAAACUUACGCUAAUACCGCAUACGACCUACGGGUGAAAGCAGGGGAUCUUCGGACCUUGCGCGAUUGAAUGAGCCGAUGUCGGAUUAGCUAGUUGGCGGGGUAAAGGCCCACCAAGGCGACGAUCCGUAGCUGGUCUGAGAGGAUGAUCAGCCACACUGGAACUGAGACACGGCCCAGACUCCUGCGGGAGGCAGCAGUGGGGAAUAUUGGACAAUGGGCGCAAGCCUGAUCCAGCCAUACCGCGUGGGUGAAGAAGGCCUUCGGGUUGUAAAGCCCUUUUGUUGGGAAAGAAAAGCAGCAGGUUAAUACCCCGCUGUUCUGACGGUACCCAAAGAAUAAGCACCGGCUAACUUCGUG